Long non-coding RNA from Haliotis rubra (blacklip abalone), 273 nucleotides. RefSeq lists it as uncharacterized. Lineage: Eukaryota; Metazoa; Mollusca; Gastropoda; Lepetellida; Haliotidae. The transcript is spliced from 2 exons. The record is from RefSeq and is a predicted model, not a curated record.
AGAUUGUACAGGCAUCGUGUGCCUCAACGGAGGAACGCUGGAUGGAAACACCUGCUCCUGCACGUGCACCGACACAUGGGAAGGUGUUACGUGCAGUCAAAAAAAAAUGCCGAGAGGACAUGAGACGGUGCAGCACGGUACUGCCGGAAUGGUGUGAUUAUUACCCCAUGGUCAGCGCCUACUGCCCCAGAAGAUGCGGACUUUGCUGACAGCUGGAAGAUGUUCUCAAACGUGCCUGUGUGACGACAAAUUAAACCAGAUGCAAAAAAUAUA